UCUUUGCUAGUAUAUCGGUUAGUAUAACCGCCUCUCAAUAGGGAGCAGCUUCCCCUCAUCAGGAAACAUCGCGGUAGAGCAGGGUUCAACUCCCUGGCGGAGAA
Non-coding RNA from Apiotrichum porosum, 104 nucleotides. The record is from the annotation of a RefSeq genome assembly. Lineage: Eukaryota; Fungi; Basidiomycota; Tremellomycetes; Trichosporonales; Trichosporonaceae.